AAUGUGCUUCUCCUCUCCUCUCCACCCUCCUUUUAAUGAGCUUGAUCUUUUCUAAUUAACUCAAUUCAUUCCUCAUUCUGUUAUCUACUGAUACAAAAAAAUUGUUCACACAGUGAAAUCUAAAAAUCCUCAAUUAAAAUCCUUGCAUACUCAAUAUUGAAUUCAUUCAAGGUGCAGGACUACGGUAAUGUGGGGCUUCCAGAAUAGGUAACGUAACCACGAAGCCCUACACAAUAUUAAAUUGAAUUCUUGGCAACUUGCGAUUCCUGCCGAAUUAGGGCAAACAUACCCGUUGAAGAAAGUAUGUGCUAUCUAGAUCCAGAAACUACUUCAUAUACGAACACAUGGAAGACGAAAGUGCAGGAGAAGACGAAGGCGACGGGGACAUUAAUAGAUUAACCGCCAACAUCAACAUCCAUGGCAGCGAGGAUGAAAUAACCAUGGCAGAAUAUGAAAUGCACAGAACCCACAAGAAAUUUGUAGUAAGGCAGCUGCCUUCAAAGGGUCUCUCAUUUCAGGUAUGGCCUGCAGCCUCUGCUCUGUGUUGGUUCCUUGAUGAAAUGUAUUGGCACCACCCGACCAUUGUAACUGCUGCUGAUGAAAACACAAGAAUAUCCAGUUGCAUUGGACAAGACGUUGGAUCGAUAAAUGGGGGUGAACAAAAUUUAUCAGCAGAAGGUUAUUGUGAACUGGAUUAUGUUGCCCGACUGUUGUUACAGAGGAGGGAUGACAAGCAGGCAUUCAAGGUUCUUGAACUGGGUGCAGGUACUGGAAUGGUGGGCAUUGCUGCAGCACUGUUGGGUGCACACGUAACCAUCACUGAUCUUCCUCAUGUCCUUCCAAACAUUGAGUUCAAUGCAUCUGUCAAUGAGGAACCCCUGCAGGCUAGCAAGCAGGGGGGGAGUGUGUGUGUCAAGGCCCUCAGGUGGGGAGAAGAGGAAGAUGUCGUGGAAGUAGGGCACAAUUUUGACCUGAUUCUGGCAUCAGAUGUGGUUUAUCACGAGAACUUAUUCGAUCCUCUUCUGCUCACUCUCAAGUGGCUUCUCUUGGGUAAUGGUAGAAAGAUAGCAAUCCAAUACUACUCAUGGCUCAUCUCAGGAGGUGGAAGAAGGAUGCCCGUUUCUUUAAGAAGGCAAAUAAAUUGUUUAAUGUUCGGGUUGUGCACAGACACACUGCCCUGCCUGGAUCCAGUUUGGGAGUGAUUAUCUACUGUUUCACAAACAAGGAAACCAAAAUAAUCACAGCAUUGACCUGAUUACUUUGCAUUGGAACCUUGCAAUUUCAAUUCCUUUGGAGUGGUGUGUUCUAUGUUAAUACAGCAACCUUUGCUGGACAGAGAAAUGUAAACCCAAUUUUGGCAUAAUUUUGGAUUGGACUUGCGUUUACAAGUAAAUUGACGAGAGUUAAUAUAUCAUUCUUACACUUGCUUGAUUUGAAA
Molecule: RNA transcript, 1438 nt
Organism: Cryptomeria japonica (Japanese cedar)
Lineage: Eukaryota; Viridiplantae; Streptophyta; Pinopsida; Cupressales; Cupressaceae
Exons: 2
Source: RefSeq, a predicted model, not a curated record